RNAcentral lists this ribosomal RNA (447 nucleotides) under Triticum aestivum (bread wheat). RNAcentral's name for it is "partial small subunit ribosomal RNA". Lineage: Eukaryota; Viridiplantae; Streptophyta; Magnoliopsida; Poales; Poaceae. The record is from RNAcentral.
AUGGCGCAACGGGGCGAUCCAUCUGCAUCAAGCUCAAAGGGGAAGGACAGACUGGAGGCACUUAUGAAAGAGCUUGCUCUGAAGGAUGAUGACCUUGAUGAUGUGGUCUUUGACGAGGGUGAUGCUCCAGCGGAGGAGGACCUGCGGUGGAUGAUCCUAGCUCGUGUUCAUAUGGACAAGAGUUUUAGCACAUACUGGUUCUUUCGCAAUAUGAGAUCAGCUUGGGACCUGGCGAGGCCGGUCAAGAUCAAAACACUUGAGAAAAACUUGUUUCAGAUGCAGUUCAAUUGCUUGGGCGAUUGGGAGAAGGUGACCCAAGGAGGGCCGUGGCACUUCAGGGGAAACCCGGUGGUUAUUGCUCUAUAUGAUGAAUACACAAAACCAUCGUCCAUUGAGCUCUUCACUUUUGAAGUCUGGGCAAGAAUACUUGAUCUUCCAAUGGCAUAA